Molecule: ribosomal RNA, 468 nt
Filed under: uncultured bacterium
Lineage: Bacteria
Description: partial 16S ribosomal RNA
Rfam family: Bacterial small subunit ribosomal RNA
Source: RNAcentral
GACGAACGCUGGCGGCGUGCUUAACACAUGCAAGUCGAACGGAAAGGCCCUGCUUUUGUGGGGUGCUCGAGUGGCGAACGGGUGAGUAACACGUGAGUAACCUGCCCUUGACUUUGGGAUAACUUCAGGAAACUGGGGCUAAUACCGGAUAGGAGCUCCUGCUGCAUGGUGGGGGUUGGAAAGUUUCGGCGGUUGGGGAUGGACUCGCGGCUUAUCAGCUUGUUGGUGGGGUAGUGGCUUACCAAGGCUUUGACGGGUAGCCGGCCUGAGAGGGUGGCCGGCCACAUUGGGACUGAGAUACGGACCAGACUCCUACGGGAGGCAGCAGUGGGGAAUAUUGCACAAUGGGCGGAAGCCUGAUGCAGCAACGCCGCGUGCGGGAUGACGGCCUUCGGGUUGUAAACCGCUUUCGCCCGUGACGAAGCGUGAGUGACGGUAAUGGGUAAAGAAGCACCGGCUAACUACGUG